Centropristis striata (black sea bass) is the source of this 929-nucleotide long non-coding RNA. RefSeq lists it as uncharacterized. The transcript is spliced from 2 exons. Lineage: Eukaryota; Metazoa; Chordata; Actinopteri; Perciformes; Serranidae. The record is from RefSeq and is a predicted model, not a curated record.
ACUGGUUCACAUGGUCUCAGCUCUGUGCUGAAUUGAUGCGCCGUGCUCCAUCGUCCGUCAAAAAUAGAAGCUCUGCAAAAGUUUUGCCAGGGCUGAUGGAUGGCGGUGCGACGACGGACUCACCACGCAGCGGAUCUGGAGUCGGUGGAACCUCACACAGUGAUUAUAAUGAAUGCGUAUUCGCUCCGCCGACGGAUCUGAAGCCAUUAUGCAUGCAGUGGAAUUUAGGGGUAACAGGAUACAUAAUUUUGUUGGUAAGUGACUUGGACACCCUCUCUUCUGUAAAGUUCAACGGAAUGGGUGUAAUACUCCAUAAAUACAACAGAGUACACAUUACCUCUGGUAGUCUAUGGGAAAGAGCCCAUGAAAUCAAGGGUCUUUCUGAAGCUGCAAUUUCCCUGCUUUUCUUAAUUUGUAUUAUUAGCAGAGCUGAGCCCAAUCAACACCAUAUACCAAAGCACUGUUUUAUAGGUCUUGUAUUUUUCGAAGAUAUCCUGAUAUUGAAUUCUCAUUAAACAUUCCAGGACGGAGUUCUCAGAGACAUCCUGGUAUGUAGACUUGCUAGAAUGUUUCAUCUGAAGGAGUUCCAAGAUGGCACAGUGGAUGGCAGCUUCAAAACAUGGAUCACCUCGUUCCACGACGCUGGACUGCACUAUGAGAGGGCACGAAUAUCAAGCCUUUGUGGGAUCACUAUGAACGCCCUAAGGCGAAAAGCUGGGACAGAUCUUUCCGACAAUAUAGCGGGACAUUUGCAGGAUGGCACUAUGAAAGAGGCUUCUUUGCCUUCUGUGAUAUCUGACUUCCAGCACCGACAAAGUGACCGAUAUCUCUUUGAAUGGACUGACCCCAUAGUACAUCAAGGACCUCAUCCAAAUCUAUACUCCAUCGCUCAAAUUGAGUCACCAUCACAUAAAUAAAUAUCAAUCAGA